UACGAAGGUGGCAAGCGUUACUCGGAAUUACUCGGCGUAAAGGGCAGGUAGGUGGUUUGGUUAGUCUGUUGUGAAAGCUCCCGGCUUAACUGGGAGAGGUCAACGGAUACUGCCGAACUUGAGUAUAGGAGAGGUUACUGGAAUUCCCGGUGUAGCGGUGAAAUGCGCAGAGAUCGGGAGGAACACCAAUGGCGAAAGCAGGUAACUGGACUAUUACUGACACUCAGCUGCGAAAGCUAGGGGAGCAAACAGG
This 253-nucleotide ribosomal RNA is filed under the name uncultured bacterium. RNAcentral's name for it is "partial 16S ribosomal RNA". It matches the Rfam family "Bacterial small subunit ribosomal RNA", at positions 524 to 776 of the family's 1533-position model. The record is from RNAcentral.